This 207-nucleotide ribosomal RNA is filed under the name uncultured bacterium. RNAcentral's name for it is "partial 16S ribosomal RNA". It matches the Rfam family "Bacterial small subunit ribosomal RNA", at positions 568 to 774 of the family's 1533-position model. The record is from RNAcentral.
CGCGCAGGCGGGUUAGCAAGUCAGAGGUGAAAUCCUACAGCUUAACUGUAGAACUGCCUUUGAGACUGCUAAUCUUGAGUAAGGAGGAGAGAGAUGGAAUUCCAGGUGUAGUGGUGAAAUACGUAGAUAUCUGGAAGAACACCAGUGGCGAAGGCGAUCUCUUGGUCCUUUACUGACGCUAAGGCGCGAAAGCGUGGGGAGCAAACA